Molecule: ribosomal RNA, 465 nt
Filed under: uncultured bacterium
Lineage: Bacteria
Description: bacterial SSU rRNA
Rfam family: Bacterial small subunit ribosomal RNA
Source: RNAcentral
GACGAACGCUGGCGGCGUGCUUAAAACAUGCAAGUCGAACGGACUUCUCAUGAAGCUUGCGAUUGAGAAGUUAGUGGCGGACGGGUGAGUAACGCGUGGGCAACCUGCCCCUGAGCCCGGGAUAACAGUUCGAAAGGACUGCUAAGACCGGAUAUACUUGCGGUGAAGCAUUUCACUGCAAGGAAAGGGAACGCUCAGGGAUGGGCCCGCGUCCCAUUAGCUAGUUGGUGAGGUAACGGCCCACCAAGGCGACGAUGGGUAGCCGGCCUGAGGGGGUGAACGGCCACACUGGGACUGAGACACGGCCCAGACUCCUACGGGAGGCAGCAGUUGGGAAUCUUCGGCAAUGGGCGCAAGCCUGACCGAGCAACGCCGCGUGAGUGAUGAAGGUUUUCGGAUUGUAAAGCUCUGUCUUCCGGGACGAUAAUGACGGUACCGGAGGAGGAAGCCACGGCUAACUACGUG